AACAAAAUUUGAUGCGAACUAUCGCUUUCUCUCAAUUUCAGUCACAAAGAGAAGAAGGGCGAUCUGAUUCGCCAUCGACGAAACAUGAAACCCAUGUUUUUCAAUUUUCUAGGUAUACGCAGCUUUAUUUUAUUUUUUAUUUUUUUCUAGAUUUAAUGUUUCUUAUUCAAUGUUUGUCUUCCAAUGGAUUCUGCAAUCUUAACUUUACCUCUGUUUUAGUAACCCUGAAAUCGAACUAGAUCUAAUUUAUAUGCUGUUCAAAAGAGCUCCUUUUAUCCAUCUGAGAGAUGUUAGAACAGGAAAGGUCAAACCCUAAAUCGUGGAAUAUGGGUUUAGCUUUUGCAACUUUGUUAAAUGUCGAUUGAUAAGUACCUAAGGUUUGUUUGAACACUUGUUUUUGUUAUGAAACUUAGUAUGAAAUUUUCAGCCCUGUACAAGGAUUUUUUUCUUAGUUUAAUAAAUGAGUUUUAUAUUAUCAACUAAUUGGAAAUCAUUGUUGGGUAUAAUUUUGAAGUUAUUAUUACUAUGAAAAUUGAUAGACUUAUUAUACAUGACGUUUCGAAUUCCUCUACACAUACAUUACUUUUUUAAACUUAAAGUUCAACGUUUGUUUUGUCAAAAUCACAUUUCUCUUUUGCAAACGGGAAUUUCUAGGCUGUGCUUUCAUAUAAAUCUUAACAUGUCAGAUGUCUGAGUUUGUUCAUGCAAUAUUAGAUUGCUCUCGCUGUGCUGGAUUGCAGGUAUUUUCUGCUUCUUCAGAUGACGAACAUUGAGUUUCUACUGCCCCCUGUCUGUUCUUUAUAGAAAUUGUGGAUCUUUAUGAUUUCGAUGAGUAAAUUCAAAUAUUGGACAUUGGCUGGUUGAUGUUUGACACAUGGAUGUUUGUUGCGUGCUAUCAUCCAGUCCCUUAACAAUCAAAAGGAGUAUCUGCUUAACAUGGUUUUAUGGUAUUGGUUGUUAGAUGGUACUCACACUGCUGUCAUUAAAUAUCGUUGUUCAUGUUACUUCAUGUGUUGGAUGCCUACUAAAUAUCACGGUAGCAAAUAAGCUGUUUACUGUGAAAAAUCUAACCUUGGAAGUCAUAAUGACUCCAAGAUAAUAUGAACUUAAAAGAAUUAGGAUUUCCUUUACCUAGAAGUCCAGAUUGAUUUGAGUGAUAAAAGUUGUUCAAAUGGCUAUACAGAAUACAAUUUUCUGCUUACAUGUCUCACCAUAUUAUCAAGGAAAUAAAUGAAGUUCCAAAAAAUUGAAUAUAUAUGCUCCUAGGCAACUUGGCUAAUUGAAAACAAAUGUAGUUCUUUCUGUUAAGAAAUUUUAAUUGAAUGAUGAAACUUGAAUAAAAAAAAAUCAAGUGAAAUAUGUUGCCAUGUAGCUGGAGGCAGCUUUCAAUGGAUAAAAAUAGACAGUUGCAUUUGGGACCAUUUGGUGAGUUAUGAGUAAUACUAGCUUGGAGUUCUCCAGUUUUCCAGUUUUCCCGUAUACCUUUUUGUGUAGUCUUUAGCUUUAUGAAAAUAUCAAACUCGAGUGUAGUCCAUAACUCCAUUGCCUAUCUAGUGUCGAGCCAAAUGGAUACUAAAGUUUUAUUCUCUGACUGAGCUAUAAACAUGCAAUGGCUACAUGGUUAAGUAUAUAAAAGAAAAGUAACUAACAGUCAGAAGAAGGCCAGGUUCAAUUUCAAGACAUUGAACAAUUCUGGCUUUAGAAGUCAUAAUAAGAACAUAUACUUGCCUUCUUGUUUUGGUGACUCUUAAACUACUUUUGAAGUGCAUCAUCAACUUUAUCUACUUCAAUUUAAGGGAGUGUACACCCUCAUUUGCAUACUUUAGAGACAAACUUUAGAGGGGGAUUCUGGCGUAACGAAGCUAUAGCGAUUCCAAUGAUGGAAAACCUUUUCUUUAUAUUUCAAAGACAGAAAUAUGGAGUCCAUGAACUUUCUUUAAGUUAGUCAUAUUAACUAAAAAAAAAAAAAAGAAGCAGCCUGUGUGAGAGUAGGGGAUUCCCUGGUUUUCCUUGUCUCUAAGCUAACUUAUUUUUCCUGAGACUACUAUAUCUCUGACAUCAGUUAUACAUCAAUUGACAAUUAGAUCGUGUAUAGUAUGACUUGUUAAUAUCAACAUGGAAGAGGUGAUAAGUAAGGACCAAUCAUGGUAUAACAGCUUCCCCCCUCUACCCUAAAGAAGCUCCACCACUGAGCCAGUGUUUAUAAACAGUAAUUGGACCACAAGAUUAAUAAUGCUCAACCACUGCUAUUUACACAAUCAAAUGACUAAUUUAACAAAUAUAACUAUUCAAGCUUACCCCAUAUGUUUGCAUACUCAACUUUUGAAUGCAUUACCCAUGCUGAUUCUGCUAAAAUCAAAUCAAUCAUUUGUUUACACAGGAAGAAGAGUAGUACUAGUCAUUUACACAUCACACAUCACCUUAUAUAUUUAUAAUAUAGCGACUAAAGUACCUAUGUAACCAACAAUCAGCUAACUUUAGCAUCGGUACUUAAAUAUGGGUAGAUUUAAUUAAGUUUGGUAGCUGGCUAAUCAGAGUUAUGUAUUGGGAAAUGUUUGAGUAGCUCUAUUUACCAAAAAGUAAUGGAUAAAAGCUCUUGCUCAUGAUUCAGAGUUAAAGAAAAAUAGUUGGCAAUGUAGAAGUACUACAAUCGAAAUAACUACUGUAACAGUUGAGGGUUUUCAUUUUGAUGCAUUUGAAAUAUCUACAUUUAUGUUCUUUAUAUCUAAGCAAUUUCUAGUUACUUCUUCCAUGGUUUCAAAACAGCGAGUACGAUGAUGAGGGCAAUGGCCAGGAUCAAUAUAAUGGAAAUCAUCAUGCAUUUUCUUGACUUCUUUUGCAAACUUUUUGCAGUUUGGAGAGCGUCGUUACCCAGUCUCACAUGAUCAGUUGUGUUUGUCACCUGUUCAUUACAAAAUGGCAUUUUUAAAAGACAUGAUUAGAUGUAUAAUUCAACUGAUUUUGUCUCUUUGUAUAGUAUGAUUUUUAAACUUCUUGUGCUUACAUGCCACAAUCUAAAUGUCUAAAACUUUCUUUGAAUGAAAUAAUAGGAAGAACUAAACAUCCCAAAUAUAAAGUGAUCAAAAGUGUUGUUUGCAUAGAUAAUAAUAAUCCAAAAGGUGAAGUUUGUUUUUGCUUAAUUGGAUGGGUAGAAUGGAAAAAGCCAAAAAAAGAAAUUCAUUGUAGGUGCUAAUGUACUGUUUUCCAAUUAUAUUUAAAGUUUUGUUUGUGUACUCUAACAUGUUAAAACUAUAAAUAUGAUUGAACAAUAAUUCCUACAAUAUCGUGUAAGUUUUGUACUAAAAGGAAUAAAAAAGAAACAAAUGGAAAUUGUAAGUUAUUAUAAUAAUAAUUAUUUUAUGAAAAAUUAAAAUUUUUCAUAAAAUAUUUUUCACAAUUGAAAGCAAUUUACAAUUUACAUUAUAGAUCCCUGAGACCAUUCAAUCCCACCUAGUGGGUGAAGAUUUUCUAUUCCU
This 3476-nucleotide long non-coding RNA is filed under the name Vigna radiata. RNAcentral describes it as "long non-coding RNA (VRAD_LNC009582)". Lineage: Eukaryota; Viridiplantae; Streptophyta; Magnoliopsida; Fabales; Fabaceae. The record is from RNAcentral.